UGCUAAUAAAUUGGCACGUUAGCACGUUAUUGCAAUAUCCCAUAGUACAUACAUGUUAUUAAAACUUGAACUAAUGCAUUGUGAGUCUUAUAAAUUGCUUACAUACCUCACCGAUUUCCCACUGUCUGGAAAACGCUCGGUUUAGUUCCUGUCUCCGCCUCCCAAAAUGUCUAGUGUAAUCGGAUUGGUCAGAUGACUACUCAACUGUUAUUGGUCAGCUGGGUUCGGCUUGUGUUUGAAAGUUACGCCCCUGACUACGCGUGGGUUGACACAGAUUCUGACUGAGUCACAGCCUCAGAGGCAUCGUAAACAAGCGUUAUAUUUCUCUAUAAACGAUGGUGUCUGUACUGCCUUACCACUUCGAGCUCGAUCCAGAGAGUUCAGAAGGCCGUUACGAUAUAAACGAUCUCCGUCAAUGAAUGCGAUUGGAUUUAACUUUUUUAGGUGUCCUUAGCUCUGCCAGAAUGCUAAACGAAGACGAAAAUGUGUUGCAAAGACAUCCAAAAGGUUUUAAGGAGAAUGCAACAGGUUCCAGGGCCUCUUACCUGCGUGAUUCAUCAUCCAGGUUUUGCACAAAUUGUCUAAAUCCCUACACACAGAACAUUUAUUGUACCGACUAUAAGCCUUUGAGGCGCAGGACUAGAAUACGCUUGGAGCUUCCUGAUCGGAAUGUUGGCUUCCGACGACCCCUGCACUGAAGAUGGCAUGCAAUCACGUCCUCCUUUGAAGGUCUCUCAAACUGUGAUGCCAGGUCCAUUGGAAUCGGGGUUUCCUUCAGCUUAUC
Molecule: non-coding RNA, 784 nt
Organism: Paramisgurnus dabryanus
Lineage: Eukaryota; Metazoa; Chordata; Actinopteri; Cypriniformes; Cobitidae
Source: RefSeq, a predicted model, not a curated record